This 4416-nucleotide long non-coding RNA is filed under the name Phoenix dactylifera (date palm). RNAcentral describes it as "long non-coding RNA (PDAC_LNC009444)". The record is from RNAcentral. Lineage: Eukaryota; Viridiplantae; Streptophyta; Magnoliopsida; Arecales; Arecaceae.
UUAUGUUAAUUGUGUUUAUUUGGCCCUAUAUAUAGGGGACUAUUUUCAUGAUUAGGAUUUUAAUGAAUGAUUAAGAACUUUCUUUUCCCCCACAUCUUUUUCUUCUUCUUCCUCCUCCUCCCCUUCUCUUCUUCCUGCGUCCCUAGAACCUCUUUUUCCUUCUCCCUCUCUUGUUCUUCCUUCUUCUCCUCUUUCCCCGCACUUGUGCUGCAUCAUCUUGGUAUCAGAGCCCCGGCUUUGUCCCCGUUGCCAAAGCCACGAUCGAGCAUUUUCUCCCUCAACCUCCCACGGUCCACUGCCCUAGUCAUUCACUCCACCAAAAUCCCACCCGAGACUUCAUCUCUGUCUCUUCCCCUCGGUGCUCACCAGAAGAACACACACACACUUCAAAAAAAAAGAAAGAGAGAAGGUCCCUUCCUCCCUCUCGGUUGUCACAGAGAACAAAGGAAGGGCUCCGCCGGAAGAUUUUCCCUCUGCCUGUCGCCGUGUCUGCGCCAACUGCCUCCACCUUGCAGCGCCGUGCCGCCGUUGGGCCGCCAACAGAAGACGCCGCGACCCCACGAGAGCCAACGGCCGCGCCUCUGUGACCACCGCCAGUGGCCGGACCCGAAGUGGCAACGCCGCCGUUCCUUCCCAUCGCCGCAACCCGUCGCCUCAGGUCCUCCGUCGCUGCGCCCACCACCACCAUCAGCCACCUGCGUCGGAUCCACAGAGGGGCCGCUGCCGGAGCCGUGACCGCCUUGCCGUUGGCUCGCCACCGGACGCCGCCGUCUGCCGGAGUCUCCCAUCGCCAGUACAGCCGCCGCGACCUCCGCCCCUGCCCGCAGCCACCGCCGUGGAGAUUGGGGUAUCCUCCCGAACCCAUCGGGAGGUUGAAGAAAGGAUUAAUGGGUAAGGCCUAAACCCGUUAACCCACAACUCGGUAGCCCGGAUCCGCCACCAAAAAAAAAAUAUAUAUAGUGCACAUGAGUUACACGUGCGGGUCGUACGGAUAUCGGGUCGAGUCAAACCCGAUAACACGAAUCCUAACGGAUCCGAGUUAAAAAAGGAAAAAAAGGCAAAAAAAAAACUUGACCUGUCGUCUUCCUCCUCCGCGGCCGUCCGCAACGCCGCGCCGCCACCUGUGGAUGCUGUCCUCCCGUUGCCGAGCGUCGUCGCCUCCGAUCUCCUUCUCCUCCGUCGGCCGCCGCCCAUAAGUUUCUGUCGUCGUCGUCCUCGUCUCGCCUCCCUUUGGCCGCCACCUCUUCCGACACCGAGGAAGCUCCUUCAGACCGUCGCCGACCAUCGCCGCAUCAUUGGAGAUGCCUGCGUCCGCAUCUCGGUGCUGCCGACCUGCCUCCGCCGGAUCCCACCUCCCCUGCCAAAGGUAGCUCCCCAGGGCUUCGGUCGAAAGCCUUUCACUGCCCCCUUCCAUCCACCACCGGCCUCACAUACCCCAUCAGCCGAACGGGCCCUCAACGCAACUCACUCCCGCUCCAGUCCACGGGCCGCGCCCACGCCCGCGCUCGAUCUAAGGCCCACCGCAUCACCUGCGGCCCAACUGAUUGCAGGGCCCGCCCACUGCUUCAAAGGCCAAUUCACAAGCCUUUUCUUCAUUCACAGGCCCGCCAGCCACACCACACAGCACACCGGGAGGCAGGUCCUUCAGGCCCACAAGCUACUUCGACCAGUUAAUUCGCGCCUUCGAUAAGCCAAUUAAAGCCAAUUGAAGGGUCCAUCAGCUACAAUUGCACUCUUGAUCAUCGCCCACAAGCGACGACACUGGUCACCUACUUCACGACAGAUAAUAGGUUUCCGCUUUUCUUGGGCUUGUUCAUUUAAUUAUGUUCUGGUUCUCUUGCAUGAUAGCCACAUUUUGAAAACUUAUAUUGCUGUCAAAAUUCAGAACAUUAAAACCUUUCACUUCCGAACCCGUCCUAUUACCCAUUAAAUCUUGAUAUUAAAUUAGCACACCCUAGCAACAGGAUGUUUCUCAACAUUAUUCGUUCAAAUUACUUUAGGAUCAGAACAACUGAAUUACUUGAUUGCAAUCUAAUUUCUUAAAUUAAAUAAUCUUAAUCCUUAAUUCUGAAUAAUCGAAGUAAAAAUCAGCAACAUUUAAACUUUAAGUUAUUCUUGUGAAGACUUGCUGAUUUCUGAAAUCAUAAUAGAUUGCAUUAGUAGGUUGUCCUGCAUCAAAUUUGGUCCUACAUUAUAGUUAUUAGGGUUUCAUUAGUGACACUGCAUUUCACAUCAUCACCCAGUGUUAUCAUUGCAUGCCAACCUGUAGUGAUAUGGAGUACUAUCUCAAUCAACCUAAAAUCCCUGUAGCUACCAUGAAUUCCGAUAUUUUGAGAUCUAUCAUAGAACAGAUCGUUGCCAUGCGGGCUAGAUACAAGGAAUUCACACAAGAGAUCCGUGAGCUCAUACAAAAUUCUAGGACCUCUACACCGCCAACCCCACCUGUAAUCCUUUCCCAUUUUUUUGGGCACCAAACCCAAUACUCAAGGUGUCAACAAUUCGACCACAUAGCAUUCCAAUGUUCCAUUAGAACCUACCUGAUUACUGAACCAGAAGUUAGGAGCCAAGAGGUCGAAUAUGUCGAAGAAGCCUAUGAACCAAAUAUAGAAGACUAUGAAGAAGACUUUGAAGACGAAACUACAGAAUUAGACUUUGUCCAAAAUGAUUCUCAAAGGGAGACUAUUGAUCUAAGUACAACCAAGCCACUUCACAUCACUACUAUCGAAGAGGUAGUGACAGAUAUUAAGAGCUAGUCACCUGAAUUGGCACUUGUAGCUAAAGAUACCCAUGUAGCGUCCAAUCUUGAACAUUCCCCUAUAGUAGUUUUCCUUCUAGAGGAGUUUCAUGAUGUAGUCCCUGAUGAUCUUUCGGAUGCACUUUCUCCAAUGCGUGAUAUCCAACGUGCAAUUGAUCUAGUUUCCGGAGCAUCUCUGCCCAACCUUCUACAUCAUAGGCUCAUACCGAAUACACAUGCUAGGACCUGUAAUUUAAUGUUACCGACAAUUGAGUUUGCAUGUAAUAGUUCGGUUAACAAGUCCAUAGGUAUGAGUCCAUUUGAAGUGGUGCAUGAUUACAAACCUAGGCAACCCAUAGACCUAUUUUUCAUGUCUCAUCAGUAUAGAGUCUUUGAAUCUGCAAAAUCAAUUACAUCACAUCCACAUUCAUUGCAUCAAGAAAUCAGCAAUUGUAGUCACUUUAAUAACUUAAAAUAUAAAUCCCUUGCUGAUUUACACAGAUGUUAUAAAGAGUUAAGUGAAAAAGAUUAUGUCAUGAUAAGAAUUAGGCUUGAACGAUUUUCUUCAGAUACGUUUAAGAAAUUGCAAACUUGUAAUGCAGAACCGUUCAAAAUCUUAAAGAAAAUCAGUUCGAAUGCAUAUAUUGUGGAUCUUCCUGAUGACAAUGGGAUUAGUGUGAUAUUUUUAAUAUUGAAGAUUUAGUUCCAUACAAAAAGAUAAUAUUCAUGCCUUCUGACCCCUUUAUUGAUAUACCUACCCAUGUUGGACAUCCUAACCUAUUACCUACUGUUGAGCCACCACCUCCCAAAUUUCAUGCAUGCAGAGAACAAAUAGAACAUAUAUUGGAUGAGCAGGUUAUUUCAACCAGGAACGGUGGUUACCAAUGUUACCUUGUUCGGUGGAAAGAUCGACCAAAGUCUGAUAUGACGUAGCUUUCUAGAGCACAGUUACAGCGCCUUGACCCCGAUCUUCUGGAGCAGUAUGACAGCCGGCCAGACCUGUACUCGACGGGAUCGAGUUUUUCUCAUCCGGAAGGAGUUGAUGGGGACAUCAGAGCCCUUCAUCUAGAUGAUCCUGAGCCCCGAAUUGAGUCAGACCUAUUUAUUUGCAUAUUUAUUUUAUUUUUAUUUCUGGGCUUGUUUGCAUUUUAGCGCUUAUUUGUGUUAUUUGUGGGCUUAUUAGAAGUUAUUUGUGUGUAAGGGGGUUUUAUGUUAAUUGUGUUUAUUUGGCCCUAUAUAUAGGAGACUAUUUUCAUGAUUAGAAUUUUAAUGAAUGAUUAAGAACUUUCUUUUCCCCCAUAUCUUAUUCUUCUUCUUCCUCCUCCUCCCCUUCUCUUCUUCCUGCGUCCCUAGAACCUCUUCUUCCUUCUCCCUCUCUUGUUCUUCCUUCUUCUCCUCUUUCCCCGCACUUGUGCUGCAUCACCUAAGUCCUUAAGAAUGCGAACGAGGUAAGAAGUUUUCAUGGUUUAGCAAGUUUUUAUCGAAGGUUUGUUAAAAAUUUCAGUUCUAUUGCUGCACCUUUAAAUGAACUUGUUAAAAAGAAUGUUGUUUUUAAGUGAAAUGAUUAGCAUGAACAAGUUUUCACUGAUUUGAAAGAUAAGCUAACUAAUGCACCUUUGUUAAGUUUGCCUAACUUUGAUAAAGCUUUUGAAGUUGAAUGUGAUGCAUCCGGAAUUGGAAUA